RNAcentral lists this transfer RNA (67 nucleotides) under Marmota monax (woodchuck). RNAcentral describes it as "tRNA.Val". The record is from RNAcentral. Lineage: Eukaryota; Metazoa; Chordata; Mammalia; Rodentia; Sciuridae.
GAGGUUGUGGCUCAGUGGUAGAGUGCGCGCCACAUGUGAGGCCCUGGGUUCAAUCCUCAGCACCACA